Molecule: non-coding RNA, 1057 nt
Organism: Macaca mulatta (Rhesus monkey)
Lineage: Eukaryota; Metazoa; Chordata; Mammalia; Primates; Cercopithecidae
Source: RefSeq, a predicted model, not a curated record
CCAAAACAUCUAGCAUUUUUUAUUAAAUUUAAAAGUCUUUUAUCUUUUUUAGAGGAUGAUCAAGACAUGAAAAUUUAUUGCAGCAGUAUAAGACUCAACCAGUUCAUUUAAAAGUGACUUCUAUUUAGAAUAUAUUCCAUGUUUCUGUCAGAUGAGUCAUCUGCCAAGUUUCUGGUGAUCUGCAGUGGUGUUGGUCAAUGCAAGAAAACAGCAACACACUCUGAAGGGUAUUCAUGUCAUCAGAAGUCUAGGAAAAUUUACUUACUUCUAAGCAGAGAACAGUUUAUUGAGAAUCAGUAGGGUUCAAUGGGUCCAAAUGUUGCUGAGAUUUAGAGGCAUGAGCAUACUUCUCAGAACCUGUCAGAUACAAUGAAACUUCCAGAUGAUCAUUCUACUUGAGCAAAUUCACCUAUAUAGAGAGAACAUAGAGUUUGCCUGGGUAGCAAUAAUCUUGUUUAUAAGAAACAUAUGGUAUACAUAUUCCUGAAUUUGUGAGGGUUUUAGAUACAGUUGUUAUAUCUUACAAACCAAUUCUACAGAGUAGAUUAACUAUAUUAGCUAUAACUAUAAUCCUAAUAAGUCUUUACAGUCAUUCAGUCAUUAUUCAUAUGUAUACUGAGUUCACUAGUUUGAAUUUUAUUCUAAUCAUAAUAGGAAGUGUCUGGAAGAUUUUAAGCAGGCAAUUGAUAAAAUCUGGUUUAUCCUUUGAGAUUACUAUGGCUGCUCUGAGGAAGCUGGCCUGUUGGGGGCAAAGAACGGCAGCAAUGAGACCCAUUAGGACGACUUUGCAGUAUCCAGCAGAGAAGUCAUGAUAGCUUGGAUUAAAAUGGCAGCAGUGACAUGUACAUGGUUUUAGGAGGAAAUGUAGGGAAGGUAUGGAAGACAUCAAGGAAAACUGGCUGGAUGACGUAAUGCAUGAACUGGAGUUUAAAGGACAAGAAGAGUUAACCAGAUGAACAAAGAAGAAAGAACAAGAGCAAGCAAGAGCAAGAACAUGUGCAAAGGCACAAGGCAUAAAACACUUUGUAUGUUUAGAUAAUUAUAAACUCACUAUGUA